RNAcentral lists this ribosomal RNA (460 nucleotides) under uncultured bacterium. Its description in RNAcentral is "partial 16S ribosomal RNA". It matches the Rfam family "Bacterial small subunit ribosomal RNA", at positions 338 to 795 of the family's 1533-position model. The record is from RNAcentral.
CCUACGGGAGGCAGCAGUGAGGAAUAUUGGUCAAUGGGCGGAAGCCUGAACCAGCCAAGUCGCGUGAGGGAGUAAGGCCCUACGGGUCGUAAACCUCUUUUGCCGGGGAGCAGUGCCCAGCUCGUGAGCUGGGAGGGAGCGUACCCGGAGAAAAAGCAUCGGCUAACUCCGUGCCAGCAGCCGCGGUAAUACGGAGGAUGCGAGCGUUAUCCGGAUUUAUUGGGUUUAAAGGGUGCGUAGGCGGGCCUUCAGGCCGGCGGGAAAUGUGCGGGGCUCAACCCCGCCGAGCCGUCGGAACCGGGGGGCUUGAGUACCGGAGAAGCACGCGGAAUGCGGGGUGUAGCGGUGAAAUGCAUAGAUAUGACGCAGAACCCCGAUUGCGAAGGCAGCGUACCGGCGGGGCACUGACGCUGAGGCACGAAAGCGCGGGUAUCGAACAGGAUUAGAUACCCGAGUAGUC